ACUAUGCAGAUGGGGAAGAUGCUUAUGCUAUGAAGCGGGAUCUCUCGCAGAUGGCAGAUGAGCUGAGACGACAAGUGGACCUGAAGAAGGGCGGGUAUGUGGUCCUGGGCUCCAGGGAGAACCAGGAGACCCAGGGCAGCACACUUUCUGGUUCUGAAGAGGCCUGUCAGCAAAGGAACCCGGCUACCGAAGAAAGUGGUAGUGACAGCAAAGAACCUAAGGAGUCUGUGGAGAGCACCAACGUCCAGGACAGCUCAGAAAGCUCGGAUUCCACCUCCUAGAGCACGCUUAAGAUGAAAAGCCAAUGAAGAUCUGAGACAGCACAACCUAAGGAAUGGGGGAACAACAGGAUGGAGAACCUGGGUCCAUGAAUGAUCUCAUGGAGCAGAGCUGUUUACCCAUCUUGAAAUAUGUGGCAUUCACUUAGUAUUCAAGAAUUUAGUGGCAAAACACACACACACUCACACACACACACUCUUACACAUGCACAUUUUGAAAUUUGGAAAGCUGCUAACCCUGGUUAUGCUAUGGUAAAAUAUUCUAUAAAACUGACAUGAGCUAACUUGGGAAGGAUAUAACUUU
RNAcentral lists this small RNA (582 nucleotides) under Pongo abelii (Sumatran orangutan). RNAcentral describes it as "processed transcript". Lineage: Eukaryota; Metazoa; Chordata; Mammalia; Primates; Hominidae. The record is from RNAcentral.